GGGAGACGUGCGAAGCGUUCAAGUCGCCCGACAGUAUACUUCGCACGGCGCUCACCACGCGGCGCGUCGAGGCUGGCGACGACGUCAUCGUCAUCGACUACACAGCCAGCGAGGCGACUUAUGCGAGGGACGCACUCUGUAAGGCGCUCUACAGUAGGCUGUUCACGUGGCUCGUGCAGCGAAUCAACGAGAGCAUACGGGUCGAAGAUUUCGGCAAGAGAAAGUGCCUUGGCGUGCUGGACAUCUACGGCUUCGAAGUGUUUGAGGUGAACGGAUACGAGCAGCUAGUGAUUAACUAUUGUAAUGAGAAACUGCAGCAGUUGUUCAUAGAGUUGACCUUGAAAGAGGAGCAGGAUGAAUACAUACGGG
Priapulus caudatus is the source of this 369-nucleotide long non-coding RNA. RefSeq lists it as uncharacterized. The record is from RefSeq and is a predicted model, not a curated record. The transcript has 3 exons. NCBI's taxonomy places the organism in Eukaryota, Metazoa, Priapulida, Priapulimorpha, Priapulimorphida, Priapulidae.